AAGACCUAGCAAUAGGUAUGCUUAGGGAGGAGCUUGCGUCACAUUAGUUAGUUGGUGGGGUAAAGGCCUACCAAGACUAUGAUGUGUAGCCGGGCUGAGAGGUUGAACGGCCACAUUGGGACUGAGACACGGCCCAAACUCCUACGGGAGGCAGCAGUAGGGAAUUUUCGGCAAUGGAGGAAACUCUGACCGAGCAACGCCGCGUGAACGAUGAAGUAUUUCGGUACGUAAAGUUCUUUUAUUAGGGAAGAAUAAAUGAUGGAAAAAUCAUUCUGACGGUACCUAAUGAAUAAGCCCCGGCUAACUAUGUGCCAGCAGCCGCGGUAAUACAUAGGGGGCAAGCGUUAUCCGGAAUUAUUGGGCGUAAAGGGUGCGUAGGCGGUUAAAUAAGUUUAUGGUCUAAGUGCAAUGCUCAACAUUGUGAUGCUAUAAAAACUGUUUAGCUAGAGUAAGAUAGAGGCAAGUGGAAUUCCAUGUGUAGUGGUAAAAUGCGUAAAUAUAUGGAGGAACACCAGUAGCGAAGGCGGCUUGCUGGGUCUUUACUGACGCUGAGGCACGAAAGCGUGGGGAGCAAACAGGAUUAGAUACCCUGGUAGUCCACGCCGUAAACGAUGAGUACUAAACGUUGGGUAAAACCAGUGUUGAAGUUAACACAUUAAGUACUCCGCCUGAGUAGUACGUACGCAAGUAUGAAACUUAAAGGAAUUGACGGGACUCCGCACAAGCGGUGGAUCAUGUUGUUUAAUUCGAAGGUACCCGAAAAACCUCACCAGGUCUUGACAUGCUUCUGCAAAGCUGUAGAAACACAGUGGAGGUUAUCAGUUGCACAGGUGGUGCAUGGUUGUCGUCAGCUCGUGUCGUGAGAUGUUGGGUUAAGUCCCGCAACGAGCGCAACCCUUAUUGUUAGUUACCAGCACGUAAUGGUGGGGACUUUAGCAAGACUGCCAGUGAUAAAUUGGAGGAAGGUGGGGACGACGUCAAAUCAUCAUGCCCCUUAUGACCUGGGCUACAAACGUGAUACAAUGGCUGUUACAAAGGGUAGCUGAAGCGCAAGUUUUUGGCGAAUCUCAAAAAAACAGUCUCAGUUCGGAUUGAAGUCUGCAACUCGACUUCAUGAAGUUGGAAUCGCUAGUAAUCGCGAAUCAGCAUGU
RNAcentral lists this ribosomal RNA (1151 nucleotides) under 'Prunus avium' phytoplasma. Its description in RNAcentral is "bacterial SSU rRNA". It matches the Rfam family "Bacterial small subunit ribosomal RNA", at positions 198 to 1357 of the family's 1533-position model. Lineage: Bacteria; Bacillati; Mycoplasmatota; Mollicutes; Acholeplasmatales; Acholeplasmataceae. The record is from RNAcentral.